UACCUGAUUGAUUCUGUCAGCGCGAUAUGCUCAAGUAAAAGAUUAAGCCAUGCAUGCUUUGAUUCAUAAAUGAAAAUUGCGUACGGCUCAUUAGAGCAGAUAUCACCUUUCUCGGAAUCCUGAAAAGGAUAACUGCGGAAAUUCUGGAGCUAAUACAUGCGACUAUACUCCAACGCAAGGCGGGGUGCAAUUAUUAGAACAGACCAAACGUUUUCGGACGUUGUUUGUUGACUCUGAAUACCGUCGCUUACUGUCAGUUUCGACUGACUCUAUCCGAGAAGGGUGUCUGCCCUUUCAACUAGAUGGUAAUCUAUUGGACUACCAUGGUUGUUACGGGUAACGGAGAAUUAGGGUUCGACUCCGGAGAGGGAGCCUUAGAAACGGCUACCACGUCCAAGGAAGGCAGCAGGCGCGAAACUUAUCCACUGUUGAGUAUGAGAUAGUGACUAAAAAUAUAAAGACUCAUCCUUUUGGAUGAGUUAUUUCAAUGAGUUGAAUAUAAAUUAUUCUUCGAGUAGCAAGGAGAGGGCAAGUCUGGUGCCAGCAGCCGCGGUAAUUCCAGCUCUCCUAGUGUAUCUCGUUAUUGCUGCGGUUAAAAAGCUCGUAGUUGGAUCUAGGUUACGUGCCGCAGUUCGCAAUUUGCGUUAACUGUGGUCGUGACUUCUAAUUUGCUGGUUUGAGGUUGGGUUCGCCCUUCAACUGCCAGCAGGUUUACCUUGAAUAAAUCAGAGUGCUCAAUACAGGCGCUUGCUUGAAUAGCUCAUCAUGGAAUAAUGAAACAGGACUUCGGUUCUUUUUGUUGGUUCUAGAAUUGAUCUAAUGGUUAAGAGGGACAAACCGGGGGCAUUCGUAUCAUUAACGCGAGAGGUGAAAUUCGUGGACCGUAGUGAGACGCCCAUAGCGAAAGCAUUUGCCAAGAAUGUCUUCAUUUAUCAAGAACGAA
This is a non-coding RNA of Caenorhabditis japonica, 943 nucleotides long. NCBI's taxonomy places the organism in Eukaryota, Metazoa, Nematoda, Chromadorea, Rhabditida, Rhabditidae. The record is from Rfam.